GUUGUCAGCAGCCCCUCCUUCCUCUGUUUUCUUCUUCGUUGGUCAUUAGUAGAUGUUCUCUCCUCUUUUGAAUGAAUCCCUGUUGGAGAGAAUAAUUACUCUUAUGGGAGUCAGGGAUGUUCGUUUCCCGCGCACGGAUCCGGAGCGGCUGUGGGAUUAUGGGAGUUUUUGUCUCUGGUUAUCUCUGCCAGAUUAAAGUGGUCAAAGAGAGAAUCCAUUACUGUCAGAAUAACUUUUACUGAAGUCUCCAAAGAGUACUUUUUUCAG
Long non-coding RNA from Cheilinus undulatus (humphead wrasse), 267 nucleotides. RefSeq lists it as uncharacterized. The transcript is spliced from 3 exons. Lineage: Eukaryota; Metazoa; Chordata; Actinopteri; Labriformes; Labridae. The record is from RefSeq and is a predicted model, not a curated record.